UACGAAGGGUGCAAGCGUUACUCGGAAUUACUGGGCGUAAAGGGUGCGUAGGUGGUUGUUUAAGUCUGUUGUGAAAGCCCCCGGCUCAACUGGGGAGGGUCACGCGAUACUGUUCGACUCGAAGGCAGGAGAGGGAAGUGGAAUUCCCGGUGUAGUGGUGAAAUGCGUAGAUAUCGGGAGGAACACCAGUGGCGAAGGCGACUUCCUGGCCUGUUCUUGACGCUGAGGCGCGAAAGCUAGGGUAGCAAACGGG
This 253-nucleotide ribosomal RNA is filed under the name uncultured bacterium. Its description in RNAcentral is "partial 16S ribosomal RNA". It matches the Rfam family "Bacterial small subunit ribosomal RNA", at positions 524 to 776 of the family's 1533-position model. The record is from RNAcentral.